GGGGGUGGAGCUCAGCGGUGGAGCGUAUGCAUGAGGUCCCGGGUUCAAUUCCCAGGAUCUCCA
Molecule: transfer RNA, 63 nt
Filed under: Camelus bactrianus (Bactrian camel)
Lineage: Eukaryota; Metazoa; Chordata; Mammalia; Artiodactyla; Camelidae
Also listed under: 2 other names
Rfam family: tRNA
About the family: Transfer RNA (tRNA) molecules are approximately 80 nucleotides in length. Their secondary structure includes four short double-helical elements and three loops (D, anti-codon, and T loops).
Source: Rfam by way of RNAcentral